UACGUAGGGGGCAAGCGUUAUCCGGAUUUACUGGGUGUAAAGGGAGCGUAGGCGGUGCAGCAAGUCAGAAGUGAAAGCCCGGGGCUCAACUCCGGGACUGCUUUUGAAACUGUUGAACUAGAUUGCAGGAGAGGUAAGUGGAAUUCCUAGUGUAGCGGUGAAAUGCGUGGAUAUUAGGAGGAACACCAGUGGCGAAGGCGGCUUACCGGACUGUAAAUGACGCUGAGGCUCGAAAGCGUGGGGAGCAAACAGG
Molecule: ribosomal RNA, 253 nt
Filed under: uncultured bacterium
Lineage: Bacteria
Description: partial 16S ribosomal RNA
Rfam family: Bacterial small subunit ribosomal RNA
Source: RNAcentral